AGCUCCAGUAGCGUAUAUUAAAGUUGUUGCAGUUAAAAAGCUCGUAGUUGGAUUUCUGGCUCGGAAGCGCUGAUCCGCCCUUAGUGGUGAGUGUCGGUUUUGCUUUCUGCCAUCCUUCCACAAAGUCUUUCUACCAUUCACUUGGACGGAUUGGCGAUGUGGAACUUUUACUUUGAAAAAAUUAGAGUGUUCAAAGCAGGCGUUUGCCAUUGAAUACAUUAGCAUGGAAUAAUAAUUUAGGACUUUGGUUCUAUUUUGUUGGUUUUCAGAUCCGAAGUAAUGAUUGAUAGGGAUAGUUGGGGGUGCUAGUAUUAAAUGGCCAGAGGUGAAAUUCUCGGAUUCAUUUAAGACUAACUUAUGCGAAAGCAUUCACCAAGGAUGUCUUCUUUA
Molecule: ribosomal RNA, 390 nt
Filed under: Pseudopirsonia sp.
Lineage: Eukaryota; Cercozoa; Imbricatea; Marimonadida
Description: partial small subunit ribosomal RNA
Rfam family: Eukaryotic small subunit ribosomal RNA
Source: RNAcentral